GCAGUUCGUUAGACGAUCGCUUGUUUUACGACAAGAGGAAAGUCCGGGCAGCAUAGGAUAAUGACAGUCGCUAACGGCGACCGGGGGUAACCCUAGGGAAAGUGCCACAGAAACAAUACCGCCUCGCGAAUGCAGUGUAGUUUGGUGAAAGCUCGACUACUACUGAGAGGUAAGGGUGAAAUGAGUGGGGUAAGAGCCCACAGCGUCAUAUGGUGACAUAUGGAGAAGGUAAACCCUGUCGGCUGCAAGGAGGUCAGCAUAAAAGAGUGGUCCGCUCGCUGGCCGAUACCCGCUGGAGUGUAUCAGCAAUGGUACAAGUAGAUAGAUGGUCGUCCUCGACAAAACCCGGCUUACAGGCUGGCUGCUCAU
Molecule: RNase P RNA, 369 nt
Filed under: Candidatus Saccharimonadota bacterium
Lineage: Bacteria; Candidatus Saccharimonadota
Description: RNase P RNA component class A
Rfam family: Bacterial RNase P class A
About the family: Ribonuclease P (RNase P) is a ubiquitous endoribonuclease, found in archaea, bacteria and eukarya as well as chloroplasts and mitochondria.
Source: RNAcentral